This 276-nucleotide ribosomal RNA is filed under the name uncultured bacterium. Its description in RNAcentral is "partial 16S ribosomal RNA". It matches the Rfam family "Bacterial small subunit ribosomal RNA", at positions 77 to 354 of the family's 1533-position model. The record is from RNAcentral.
CGGAAAGGGAAAGGCUUAGUGGCGGACGGGUGAGUAACGCGUGGGUAACCUGGCCCAUACAGGGGGAUAACACUUAGAAAUAGGUGCUAAUACCGCACAACAACAGAAAGCGCAUGCUUUUUGUUUGAAAACCAAGGUGGUAUGGGAUGGACCCGCGUCUGAUUAGCUAGUUGGCGGGGCGACGGCCCACCAAGGCGACGAUGUCUAGGGGUUCUGAGAGGAAGGUCCCCCACACUGGUACUGAGACACGGACCAGACUCCUACGGGAGGCAGCAG